Molecule: ribosomal RNA, 1434 nt
Filed under: Scinax fuscomarginatus (brown-bordered snouted treefrog)
Lineage: Eukaryota; Metazoa; Chordata; Amphibia; Anura; Hylidae
Description: partial 16S large subunit ribosomal RNA
Rfam family: Bacterial large subunit ribosomal RNA
Source: RNAcentral
GCCAAAAACCUAGCUCCAACUUACCAUAUGAACCCUACCCCCUCUUAACCCAAACUAAAACAUUCACAUAUUUUAGUAAAGGAGAUUGAAAAACUUUUGAAGCAAUAAACUUAGUACCGCAAGGGAAAGAUGAAAUACUAAUGAAAACCCCAAAGCAAAAAAAAGUAGAGCUUAACCCUCGUACCUUUUGCAUCAUGGUCCAACAAGUCUAACCAAGCAAAAAGAAUUACAGUUUGACCCCCCGAAACUAAGCGAGCUACUUCAGGGCAGCCUAAUGAGCCAACCCGUCUCUGUUGCAAAAGAGUGGGAAGACCCCUAAGUAGAGGCGACAUACCUAACGAGCUUAGUGAUAGCUGGUUACUCAAGAAAAGAAUUUUAGUCCAACCUAAAGCCUUGUUCUUACCAUUAAAACCUCCCAUGACUUUAGAGCAAAUCAAAUAAGGUACAGCCUAUUUGAAACAGGAUACAACCUCGUAUGAUGGGUAAAACUUUCACUUCACACCCAAGUGGGCCUAAAAGCAGCCAUCUUUUUAAAAGCGUCACAGCUUAGCCUUUCCCUAACCACCCAAUACCUUGAUUUAACCUAAACCCUCCCAUAAUAUUGAGUAAUUCUAUAUCCAUAUAGAAAAUUUUAUGUUGGAACUAGUAACAAGAAGAAAGGCCUUCUCUUAAGUGCAAGUAUAAGUCAGAAAGGACAAACCACUGACGAUUAACGCCUAUGAACACACAUUAGUAACUUCUCAAGAAAAACCUAAUCAAAAUUCACGUUAACCUGACACAAGAGCACUUCAAGAAAGAUUUAAAGAAAAAGAAGGAACUCGGCAAAUAUUAACCCCGCCUGUUUACCAAAAACAUCGCCUCUUGAUCAAAAAUAAGAGGUCCAGCCUGCCCAGUGACUAAUGUUCAACGGCCGCGGUAUCCUAACCGUGCGAAGGUAGCGUAAUCACUUGUUCUUUAAAUGAGGACUAGUAUGAAUGGCAUCACGAGGGUUAUACUGUCUCCUUUUUCCAAUCAGUGAAUCUAAUCCCCCCGUGAAGAAACAGGGAUACAACUAUAAGACGAGAAGACCCUAUGGAGCUUUAAAUACCUCUUCAAACGUUGGACCUCCCCCAUCAAGUUUAAACUCACUUACUUUAACCUCGAACGCUAUGAAGACGACUUUUAGGUUGGGGUGACCACGGAGAACAAUACAACCUCCAUGCUGAAUCAGACUUUCUAAGCCUGAGUUAAGAGCCACUGCUCGACACACUAAAAAAUUAACAUCUAUUGACCCAAUAACCACUUGAUCAACGAACCAAGUUACCCUAGGGAUAACAGCGCAAUCCAUUUCAAGAGUCCAUAUCGACAAAUGGGUUUACGACCUCGAUGUUGGAUCAGGGUAUCCCAGUGGUGCAGCCGUUACUAAUGGUUCGUUUGUUCAACGAUUAAAACCCU